RNAcentral lists this ribosomal RNA (467 nucleotides) under uncultured bacterium. RNAcentral describes it as "partial 16S ribosomal RNA". It matches the Rfam family "Bacterial small subunit ribosomal RNA", at positions 28 to 506 of the family's 1533-position model. The record is from RNAcentral.
GACGAACGCUGGCGGCGUGCUUAACACAUGCAAGUCGAACGGAAAGGCCCUGCUUUUGUGGGGUGCUCGAGUGGCGAACGGGUGAGUAACACGUGAGUAACCUGCCCUUGACUUUGGGAUAACUUCAGGAAACUGGGGCUAAUACCGGAUAGGAGCUCCUGCUGCAUGGUGGGGGUUGGAAAGUUUCGGCGGUUGGGGAUGGACUCGCGGCUUAUCAGCUUGUUGGUGGGGUAGUGGCUUACCAAGGCUUUGACGGGUAGCCGGCCUGAGGGGGUGACCGGCCCAAUGGGGCUGGGGUAGGGCCCCAGACCCCACGGGGGGGCGGGGGGGGGGAAUUUUCCCAAAGGGGGGGAGGCCGAAGGAAGCACCCCCGGGGGGGGGGGGCCGGCCUUCGGGUUGAAACCCCUUUUCCCUGGUGCCGAGGGGUGGGGACGGGAAAGGGGUAAAAAAGCCCGGGCAAACUCGGG